GACGAACGCUGGCGGCGUGCUUAACACAUGCAAGUCGAACGGUAAGGCCCUUCGGGGUACACGAGUGGCGAACGGGUGAGUAACACGUGGGUGAUCUGCCCCGCACUUCGGGAUAAGCCUGGGAAACUGGGUCUAAUACCGGAUAGGACUCCUGGCUUCAUGGUUGGGGGUGGAAAGCUUUUGCGGUGUGGGAUGGGCCCGCGGCCUAUCAGCUUGUCGGUGGGGUAAUGGCCUACCAAGGCGACGACGGGUAGCCGGCCUGAGAGGGUGACCGGUCACACUGGGACUGAGAUACGGCCCAGACUCCUACGGGAGGCAGCAGUGGGGAAUAUUGCACAAUGGGCGCAAGCCUGAUGCAGCGACGCCGCGUGAGGGAUGACGGCCUUCGGGUUGUAAACCUCUUUCAGCUAUGACGAAGCGCAAGUGACGGUAGUAGCAGAAGAAGGACCGGCCAACUACGUGCCAGCAGCCGCGGUAA
This 478-nucleotide ribosomal RNA is filed under the name uncultured bacterium. Its description in RNAcentral is "partial 16S ribosomal RNA". It matches the Rfam family "Bacterial small subunit ribosomal RNA", at positions 28 to 523 of the family's 1533-position model. The record is from RNAcentral.